GGGGCCAUAGUAUAAUGGGAUUACAUUUGCAUGGCAUGCAAAAUAUCGGAGUUCGAUUCUCCGUGGCUCCA
This 71-nucleotide transfer RNA is filed under the name Sporosarcina pasteurii. It matches the Rfam family "tRNA". Rfam says of the family: Transfer RNA (tRNA) molecules are approximately 80 nucleotides in length. Their secondary structure includes four short double-helical elements and three loops (D, anti-codon, and T loops). The record is from Rfam by way of RNAcentral. RNAcentral also lists the same sequence under 3 other names. Lineage: Bacteria; Bacillati; Bacillota; Bacilli; Caryophanales; Caryophanaceae.